Molecule: long non-coding RNA, 272 nt
Filed under: Bos taurus (domestic cattle)
Lineage: Eukaryota; Metazoa; Chordata; Mammalia; Artiodactyla; Bovidae
Description: long non-coding RNA NONBTAT028825
Source: RNAcentral
CAAACAGUGAAUGUUUCCAUAACAGCCUCAAGGUCCAACUUUCUCCAGGAAGGCUUGCAGCCUGCCAGACAGCUGGGUUCCGGCGGGGAUGGCCGGCUCAUGUAGUGCCAUCUUGUGGCAGCCGCGUGAAUGGCAUUUUAUAAAUCAUCCUGUUGGGCUGCUGUGAAAUGAGUCCCUUCCUGAUGACCUAAAAAGAAAUCCAGUGAUAUUCACAUCAUCUUAAUUUUUCUUAAUAAUAUGGGAAACUGUUUUAUUAAAUACUUAUGUAAUUC